ACGUCACAGCGCUCUCACCGCGUACCGUCACCCCACACGCUGCCGUCUUUCUCUCAAAACCCGGGAACCCGAACGGCAGGACACCGCGCUCUGCUAUGGAUUUUUACUAAAACUCUAAAGUGUGACUAAAGAAAUGCCUGGGAGAAACACACACACACACACACACACACACACACACACACUCUAUCACAAACACACAUGUUCUCUCUCUCUCCCCUCUGGUCUGAACUGGCCUCGUAUGCAGGACACUGACCUGCGGCUCGGUCGGCCGUGUUGCUCCCGUUAAUGCCUCUCCCUGUGAGCCCCCCCACCCCCCCACCGCCUACCCAGUGUUCAGACUACCUGUUCAUUAUGCUGCAGCUGAACAGUAGUCCGCACAUUGGUUAGGCUGGGCCGGGACACACACGCAUCAGAAAAGACCAGGCUAUAACUUUCUAUCUUUGAGAUGCAGGACAGAGACUCAGCGGUCAGGACGAACCAGUACUCCUUGGAUCCUCCCUUCAUGAAGCUGAUGUUGAUGGUGAGCCAGCCUUUACGGAUCACCUGCAUAGAGGGGCGAAAGAGAAAACGUCACACACGCACGGGCGCAAACACACACGCACACGUGCACACACACACACACACACGCACACACGUACUCACGCACACAGCUCACACUUACCUGUACCGUUUUAACAGGGACAACAUUCUGUACAGCGUUUUGGCAAAAUUCUUCUUCUUUCUUUCUUGUUUUUACUAUUCAUUAGCUUUUAUUAAAUGUAUUCAAUGUUUUGUUUUUUAAUUUGUAUUUCUGACAUUUAUGAUAUUAAAAAAAUUGUCAUUUUAA
Long non-coding RNA from Tachysurus vachellii, 826 nucleotides. RefSeq lists it as uncharacterized. NCBI's taxonomy places the organism in Eukaryota, Metazoa, Chordata, Actinopteri, Siluriformes, Bagridae. The record is from RefSeq and is a predicted model, not a curated record. The transcript is spliced from 3 exons.